GGAAUAUUGGGCAAUGGAGGAAACUCUGACCCAGCGACGCCGCGUGCGGGAUGAAGGCCUUCGGGUUGUAAACCGCUUUCAGUAGGGAAGAAGCGAAAGUGACGGUACCUACAGAAGAAGCACCGGCUAACUAUGUGCCAGCAGCCGCGGUAAUACAUAGGGUGCAAGCGUUGUCCGGAAUUAUUGGGCGUAAAGAGCUCGUAGGUGGUUCGUUACGUCGGAUGUGAAAAUCUGGGGCUCAACCCCAGACCUGCAUCCGAUACGGGCGAGCUAGAGUUUGGUAGGGGAGACUGGAAUUCCUGGUGUAGCGGUGGAAUGCGCAGAUAUCAGGAGGAACACCAAUGGCGAAGGCAGGUCUCUGGGCCAAUACUGACACUGAGGAGCGAAAGCGUGGGGAGCGAACAGGAUUAGAUACCCUGGUAGUCCACGCCGUAAACGGUGGGCGCUAGUUGUGGGAACCUUCCACGGUUUCUGCGACGCAGCUAACGCAUUAAGCGCCCCGCCUGGGGAGUACGAUCGCAAGAUUAAAACUCAAAGGAAUUGACGG
This 547-nucleotide ribosomal RNA is filed under the name uncultured bacterium. RNAcentral's name for it is "bacterial SSU rRNA". It matches the Rfam family "Bacterial small subunit ribosomal RNA", at positions 358 to 916 of the family's 1533-position model. The record is from RNAcentral.